UACGUAGGGGGCAAGCGUUGUCCGGAUUUAUUGGGCGUAAAGAGCGUGUAGGCGGCUUGGCAAGUCCGCUGUGAAAACUCGAGGCUCAACCUCGAGACGUCGGUGGAAACUGCCUCGCUAGAGUCCGGAAGAGGAGAGUGGAAUUCCUGGUGUAGCGGUGAAAUGCGCAGAUAUCAGGAAGAACACCCGUGGCGAAGGCGGCUCUCUGGUACGGAACUGACGCUGAGACGCGAAAGCGUGGGGAGCGAACAGG
This 253-nucleotide ribosomal RNA is filed under the name uncultured bacterium. RNAcentral describes it as "partial 16S ribosomal RNA". It matches the Rfam family "Bacterial small subunit ribosomal RNA", at positions 524 to 776 of the family's 1533-position model. The record is from RNAcentral.